RNAcentral lists this transfer RNA (73 nucleotides) under Candidatus Kaiserbacteria bacterium RIFCSPHIGHO2_01_FULL_56_24. RNAcentral describes it as "tRNA-Arg". Lineage: Bacteria; Candidatus Kaiseribacteriota. The record is from RNAcentral.
CCCCGCGUAGUUCAAUGGAUUAGAACGGACCCGUCCUAAGGGCCUGAUCUCAGUUCGAUUCUGGGCGCGGGGA